AAACUUCUUUAUCACCGAGUGCUUGCACUCACCGAUAAAGAGUUGAGUGGCGAACGGGUGAGUAACACGUGGGCAACCUGCCCAAAAGAGGGGGAUAACACUUGGAAACAGGUGCUAAUACCGCAUAACCAUAGUUACCGCAUGGUAACUAUGUAAAAGGUGGCUAUGCUACCGCUUUUGGAUGGGCCCGCGGCGCAUUAGCUAGUUGGUGAGGUAAAGGCUUACCAAGGCAAUGAUGCGUAGCCGAACUGAGAGGUUGAUCGGCCACAUUGGGACUGAGACACGGCCCAAACUCCUACGGGAGGCAGCAGUAGGGAAUCUUCCACAAUGGGCGAAAGCCUGAUGGAGCAACGCCGCGUGGGUGAAGAAGGUCUUCGGAUCGUAAAACCCUGUUGUUAGAGAAGAAAG
Molecule: ribosomal RNA, 408 nt
Filed under: Ligilactobacillus murinus
Lineage: Bacteria; Bacillati; Bacillota; Bacilli; Lactobacillales; Lactobacillaceae
Description: bacterial SSU rRNA
Rfam family: Bacterial small subunit ribosomal RNA
Source: RNAcentral